Molecule: long non-coding RNA, 246 nt
Filed under: Carica papaya (papaya)
Lineage: Eukaryota; Viridiplantae; Streptophyta; Magnoliopsida; Brassicales; Caricaceae
Description: long non-coding RNA (CPAP_LNC003219)
Source: RNAcentral
UACUUAAUCUUUUCAAAUCCCAACCAAGUUUGGAAUGAGGAAAUACUUACCAAAGUUCCUCAAACAGAUUGUAUUCCACUUUAUCAACGACCUAGAAUCACCAUACAUAAACAUAAUCAAAUUUAAUUGACAGAAAUGAAUUAAACCUAAAGGAAAACUGCUAACAAUGACUAUUUUAGGUAAUUACCAACAACAAGCUUGUUUUUCCGUAUUCGGCGAACUACCACUUCUGCUCCCUGCGUAGGU